GAUCCUGGCUCAGAUUGAACGCUGGCGGAAUGCUUUACACAUGCAAGUCGAACGGUAGAGGGGGCAACCCUUGAGAGUGGCGAACGGGUGAGUAAUAUAUCGGAACGUGCCCAGUCGUGGGGGAUAACGUAGCGAAAGUUACGCUAAUACCGCAUACGAUCUAUGGAUGAAAGCGGGGGAUCGCAAGACCUCGCGCGAUUGGAGCGGCCGAUAUCAGAUUAGGUAGUUGGUGAGGUAAAGGCUCACCAAGCCGACGAUCUGUAGCUGGUCUGAGAGGACGACCAGCCACACUGGGACUGAGACACGGCCCAGACUCCUACGGGAGGCAGCAGUGGGGAAUUUUGGACAAUGGGCGCAAGCCUGAUCCAGCAAUGCCGCGUGCAGGAUGAAGGCCUUCGGGUUGUAAACUGCUUUUGUACGGAACGAAACGGUGAGCUCUAAUACAGUUUGCUAAUGACGGUACCGUAAGAAUAAGCACCGGCUAACUACGUG
Molecule: ribosomal RNA, 492 nt
Filed under: uncultured bacterium
Lineage: Bacteria
Description: bacterial SSU rRNA
Rfam family: Bacterial small subunit ribosomal RNA
Source: RNAcentral